Molecule: ribosomal RNA, 335 nt
Filed under: Ariadna tangara
Lineage: Eukaryota; Metazoa; Arthropoda; Arachnida; Araneae; Segestriidae
Description: partial small subunit ribosomal RNA
Source: RNAcentral
GCACAUUUGCUAGCUUGUUCAUAAUUGAUUAUUAUUCGAUUAUUGAAUUCAAAUCCUUUUUUGGAGUCGCAGGAAUUAGGCGUUCUUCUUUAAAUAGUGUUUAAUGUAACUCAUUUCGGCUUUCUUAUUGGCUACACCUUGACCUGAUUUGUUAGAUAUGUUGUUGAGGAUAAGCUUUAUUGAGUUAUUCUUUAAACGGCGGUAUAUAAGCUGUUAGUAUACAAGAAAGUAAGAUUUAGCGGGGAUUAUCGAUUAUGAAACAAGUUCCUCUGAUUAGAGCUAAUGCCGCCAAAUUGCAUUGGUUUUUCUUGGGGGUACUACCUAGGUGAGAGAGU